CGCCAGCAGCCGCGGUAAUACGUAGGGGGCGAGCGUUGUCCGAAUUUAUUGGGCGUAAAGCGCGUGUAGGCGGUUUUUUAAGUCAGGUGUGAAAUCCCGCAGCUCAACUGCGGAACUGCACUUGAUACUGUAAGGCUUGAGAGUGGGAGAGGAAAGUGGAAUUCCUGGUGUAGCGGUGAAAUGCGUAGAUAUCAGGAGGAACACCCGUGGCGAAGGCGGCUUUCUGGCCCACUUCUGACGCUGAGACGCGAAAGCCAGGGGAGCGAACGGGAUUAGAUACCCCGGUAGUCCUGGCCGUAAACGAUGGAUACUAGGUGUUAGAGGUAUCGACCCCUCUAGUGCCGUAGCUAACGCAUUAAGUAUCCCGCCUGGGGAGUACGGCCGCAAGGUUGAAACUUAAAGGAAUUGGCGGGGG
Molecule: ribosomal RNA, 415 nt
Filed under: uncultured bacterium
Lineage: Bacteria
Description: bacterial SSU rRNA
Rfam family: Bacterial small subunit ribosomal RNA
Source: RNAcentral